GAAAGAAAUACCAAGAAUUUGCUCAAGAAAAAAAUAUCUAGAUGAGAAGACCCUUUGAUUCUACAUAGACGAAAAGCAUACCAAAUGACAGAUUGGAUACAGAUUCUACAUGUUGUAUCCACCUGACAAAUCAUCUGAAAACAUAAAGAGGAUGAAGAAUACUUCUGAUAAAAAGUUGAACCAGUCUGGUUCAAAUAGCUGAUGAGCAGGUCAAUCCAACUUGAACAUGACAUUAUUUCCACAAGGAUGAAACCACGUCUCUGGUGUACUUAAGCACUGACAUGUUAAAGUCAACAGAAACGGGAACAUGUCAUACAUGCAGACUACAGUGUUGUGUUGCACAGUUCAGAAAACAUACAGCCACCGCUAACAUAAGUGCAAGCGAGUCGUCAAGAACUGAAGUCAACCACUCAGGGACUUUUCUGUUGGAUUAUGUUGGACUACAAACUGAUUAUUUGACAAAGGAAUCCCCCUUGAUGCUUGUUGGCUACCACUGAUGUGAAAUUAAGCAUUUAUUAUCCCAAUUACUUUUACAUAUUCUUGAUGAUAUUAG
Long non-coding RNA from Saccostrea echinata, 553 nucleotides. RefSeq lists it as uncharacterized. The transcript is spliced from 3 exons. The record is from RefSeq and is a predicted model, not a curated record. NCBI's taxonomy places the organism in Eukaryota, Metazoa, Mollusca, Bivalvia, Ostreida, Ostreidae.